AAUAGAUACCCUGGUAGUCCACGCCGUAAACGAUGUCGACUUGGAGGUUGUUCCCUUGAGGAGUGGCUUCCGGAGCUAACGCGUUAAGUCGACCGCCUGGGGAGUACGGCCGCAAGGUUAAAACUCAAAUGAAUUGACGGGGGCCCGCACAAGCGGUGGAGCAUGUGGUUUAAUUCGAUGCAACGCGAAGAACCUUACCUACUCUUGACAUCCAGAGAACUUAGCAGAGAUGCUUUGGUGCCUUCGGGAACUCUGAGACAGGUGCUGCAUGGCUGUCGUCAGCUCGUGUUGUGAAUGUUGGGUUAAGUCCCGCAACGAGCGCAACCCUUAUCCUUUGUUGCCAGCGGUCCGGCCGGGAACUCAAAGGAGACUGCCAGUGAUAAACUGGAGGAAGGUGGGGAUGACGUCAAGUCAUCAUGGCCCUUACGAGUAGGGCUACACACGUGCUACAAUGGCGUAUACAAAGAGAAGCGACCUCGCGAGAGCAAGCGGACCUCAUAAAGUACGUCGUAGUCCGGAUUGGAGUCUGC
This 530-nucleotide ribosomal RNA is filed under the name uncultured bacterium. RNAcentral's name for it is "bacterial SSU rRNA". It matches the Rfam family "Bacterial small subunit ribosomal RNA", at positions 777 to 1308 of the family's 1533-position model. The record is from RNAcentral.